UUUCCUUCACUUCUCUUGGGUGUUAUUGGGAGGAGGUGGUACCUGGUGAAGAACAAAUUGACAGCGCAUACAAACGGGAUUUAAGCAGUACACCAGAGGAGAACAGUGAGUCAUCCUCCGAAGGUCAGCAAAUGGCUACCCUGUUUACUGAGCUUUCAUGCCCACCAAGGUUCUCGAUCCCAGCUUCCACUCCAACCCCUGUGGUUCAGUAGUCUGCAGGGCAGGGCCAGAGGGCAGCUGCAUCAAGACUUGCAUCAGGCCAGCCAUGCUAAAAGUUUACUGAAGACCACACGGGGCUAAACAUCACCGACUGAGGGAGGCGGGGGCUGCAUAGGGCUUAAAGGAAGACAAGCCUGGCUGCACCUCUACAAACUUUAAACAUAAAGCUGGC
Molecule: non-coding RNA, 391 nt
Organism: Epinephelus lanceolatus (giant grouper)
Lineage: Eukaryota; Metazoa; Chordata; Actinopteri; Perciformes; Serranidae
Source: RefSeq, a predicted model, not a curated record